UACGUAGGGUGCAAGCGUUGUCCGGAAUUAUUGGGCGUAAAGAGCUCGUAGGCGGUCUGUCGCGUCGGCUGUGAAAACUCGGGGCUCAACCCCGAGCCUGCAGUCGAUACGGGCAGACUAGAGUUCGGUAGGGGAGACUGGAAUUCCUGGUGUAGCGGUGAAAUGCGCAGAUAUCAGGAGGAACACCGGUGGCGAAGGCGGUUCUCUGGGCCGAUAUCGACGCUGAGGAGCGAAAGCGUGGGGAGCGAACAGG
This 253-nucleotide ribosomal RNA is filed under the name uncultured bacterium. RNAcentral describes it as "partial 16S ribosomal RNA". It matches the Rfam family "Bacterial small subunit ribosomal RNA", at positions 524 to 776 of the family's 1533-position model. The record is from RNAcentral.